RNAcentral lists this transfer RNA (75 nucleotides) under Rhizobium sp. MHM7A. RNAcentral's name for it is "tRNA-Asn". It matches the Rfam family "tRNA". From Rfam's summary of the family: Transfer RNA (tRNA) molecules are approximately 80 nucleotides in length. Their secondary structure includes four short double-helical elements and three loops (D, anti-codon, and T loops). Lineage: Bacteria; Pseudomonadati; Pseudomonadota; Alphaproteobacteria; Hyphomicrobiales; Rhizobiaceae. The record is from RNAcentral.
UCUAGGGUAGCUCAGCGGUAGAGCGUCUGACUGUUAAUCAGGGGGUCGCCGGUUCGAAUCCGGCCCUUAGAGCCA